This 20-nucleotide non-coding RNA is filed under the name Arabidopsis thaliana (thale cress). Lineage: Eukaryota; Viridiplantae; Streptophyta; Magnoliopsida; Brassicales; Brassicaceae. The record is from RNAcentral.
GAUGCAGCUACAUGGGCUGA